AAUUAAUAUUUGAUGCCUCGAUAUGGAGAGGCGCUCGCUCAACACUUUUCCAUUUUCGACAAAGCUAAUGCGAGCCACGGGUGCCCACGUUAAUAUUCCUGCGCACCCUCGUUGCAGAUGAUAUAAUAGAAUAGAGUGUUCGCCCCUGUCGGUGCACCCAAUUGCGGCUCAUCAUCACCACCACCACGGCCGAUUUUAUGAUCAACAGACCCGAAAUGAUCUACGCUGAUUAAGGCAUGGCUCCCAUCAAUUCCUGCCCAAAAAAGAGUACUACUACACUCUUGGCUUGCUUUAACUUCCACUCUUUUAAACUCCAACACGAACCCACCCACGUCGCAAAUCUUAAGCCAAAUGGUGGAUGCCACGUGUUAGAAUAUUUUAGACUUCUCCUCCCCUGAACUAAAGAAAAAAUAAAGGAUAAAUAUUUGGUAAGUUGACCCUCAGGGUGUGAGUGAGUAAAGAGGUCAAGCAAUAAUCUAUUUGGGAAUGGUCAUGUUUGUCUC
Molecule: unclassified non-coding RNA, 503 nt
Filed under: Hevea brasiliensis (rubber tree)
Lineage: Eukaryota; Viridiplantae; Streptophyta; Magnoliopsida; Malpighiales; Euphorbiaceae
Source: RNAcentral